GACAGAGGCCUCAAGCGUUAGGCGGAAUCACUGGGCUUAAAGCGUGUGUAGGCGGAUCGUUAAGUGUCUUGUGAAAUCCCACGGCUCACCCGUGGAACGGCUGGGCAUACUGGCGAUCUUGGGCCAACUAGGGGCAACUGGAACAAGCGGUGGAGCGGUGAAAUGCGUAGAUAUCGCUUGGAACGCCGAAGGUGAAAGACGAUGUGCUGGGGUUGUGCCGACGCUGAGACACGAAAGCCAGGGGAGCAAACGGG
Molecule: ribosomal RNA, 254 nt
Filed under: uncultured bacterium
Lineage: Bacteria
Description: partial 16S ribosomal RNA
Rfam family: Bacterial small subunit ribosomal RNA
Source: RNAcentral